Molecule: long non-coding RNA, 1269 nt
Organism: Carassius carassius (crucian carp)
Lineage: Eukaryota; Metazoa; Chordata; Actinopteri; Cypriniformes; Cyprinidae
Exons: 3
Source: RefSeq, a predicted model, not a curated record
UACUUGUCUUAUCAAAUAAAAUGUUUCAAAUGUAUAUUAGGUUGCUUGUAUUUUUAUUAAAACCACAUUAGGCAAAAGUUCCUUGUAUAGGUAGGCUGCUGAUUUUUGUUCACUGUAUUCAGCUUCAAAUAAAUAUUUUGCAAAAUGUGAUAGACUAAAUACAUUUGACAUUUUAUAAACCUUAAUGAAAUCAAAAUGUUAGGAAUCAGAAUGAAGAAGUAGAAUUGGAAAUGGAAUAGCUAUUCACUAUCCAACCGUACAACAUUAUCGUUUAUAUUUUUAUAACACAACUGAUAAUCUUCAAAAGCCCUGGUUUCCUUUGUUGUUCUUCUUGUAAUAUGAUAUUACCAGUUAUGUGAAAAUAACGAAAAGAGCGUUUCACAAAAGCAUAAAGGACUUAUAUUGAGAUUCUCGAAAGUUCACACAUACAUGCUUUUUUCAAAUGCAUUUUAAAGCUAUACCUUUGAGUGUUGUGCAUUUACAGAUUGAGCCAAAAAACGUCCAGAAGAAAAUGGGGGGAGGAAGUUCCAGUCAGAGAGAAAUUGAACUGCAAAGAAGAGCAAAGGAACUGGAUGAAAGAGCGAGGGAACUGGAUAGAAGAGCGAUGGAAGGGAAGACAAAAGCUCCUAAGUGUUGUGGUUGCUGCUUCAUUCAAAUAUCAUCACAGAAGACAGAUCAAUCAACUACCAUGAUCAAUUCACAAGUUAGUAAUGAUAAAAAUUCACAUGUUGAAGGUAGGUUAAGUUUGAGUCUCAGGCCAAGCAUUAUGUAACUCAUCAGACCCUCACACUCACCAGACUACUGAUCACAGACUACAUUUCCCAUCAUCUAUUUUGUAUCAAUAUAGUACUAUCUUACUUAAUAUAUUAUGCAUGACUAUGAAAGUAAUUAAUAUACUGAUCAAUAUGCUGAAUUAUCCCCAAAUACUGAUUGGAUGUAUAAAGGCCCUCCCAUUGGGCAGCACUGCUAGUUUUCCAUUGAACUGCACCUGUUAACUGAAGCAUUCCUAUGAACUUUGGAUGAUUUCCAGAAGUUGACAGAUUUAAUGAAUGUCUCCUGGGAUCACCGCCAACCAAUACUAGGCAGAAAGUUUUCUUAAAAAUGGUUGAUAAGGCCAAGUUUCAUCAUUAAAAAAUACCAGAUGGGCAAGUAAUAAAUUGUAGAAAACCAGAUAAGGAUAGCCUAUAAGCAAUAAAAAAUAAACCGGAACUACCAAUUAUGAUAAGAAAGAAGGGUAUAAUUUAGUGUGUAGUGCCUAAGAGGGGCCUA